GGGCCCGCACAAGCGGAGGAGCAUGUGGUUUAAUUCGAUGAUACGCGAGGAACCUUACCCGGGCUUGAAAGUUAGUGAAUAAUUCAGAGACGAAUUAGUCCUUCGGGACACGAAACUAGGUGCUGCA
This 127-nucleotide ribosomal RNA is filed under the name uncultured bacterium. Its description in RNAcentral is "partial 16S ribosomal RNA". It matches the Rfam family "Bacterial small subunit ribosomal RNA", at positions 917 to 1045 of the family's 1533-position model. The record is from RNAcentral.